Vicia villosa (hairy vetch) is the source of this 1568-nucleotide long non-coding RNA. RefSeq lists it as uncharacterized. Lineage: Eukaryota; Viridiplantae; Streptophyta; Magnoliopsida; Fabales; Fabaceae. The transcript is spliced from 5 exons. The record is from RefSeq and is a predicted model, not a curated record.
AAAAAGAGAAUUUGGGAAUUAGGGUAAGACUUGUGACCUUUCAACUCUCACGUGAAGUUCAGGGUAUCUCUUCGUCCUUCUUCACUCGCGGCGGCUCACCAUUCCCUCUCCGACGGAGCUCAGACCACCGUCGUGGACACACAUCUCUCCAAUGCCUCUCGUCCCUCUCUAGCUCUUUCUCUUUUCGCCCCUGUGAUUCAAGAUCGGGACACCUCCGUUCUUCGCCUCAACCUUCUUCGUGUCAAAUCGAUGCUUCCUUCAGCUCGUCUUCGGUUACUGAUGAAGAUUGACACAGAGAAGAAGUGAUUCCGCACUAGAUGAAGAUGAUGUUGAAAGUAAGACUAUGAAUUGAAGACGCGAUGAUUGACGCGCAUACUUUGUCGUUCUUGCGAUGCAUCUCAGGCGAGGAUGACGGUGAGGAUUGAAGAGGUGAAAUGAAGAUUGUUGUAGAAUCCGGAGAUUCAAGGUUGAUGCGAAGAUGAAGCUGGAGUUGUGAUGAUGAUCGAAGCCAUGGUUAGAGAAGAUUCUGGUGAUUUGAGGUGUGAAGAAGAGGGAUUGAAGAUUGAUGAAGGCCGAGAGAGGGUCUGAAGAUUGAUGAAUUGAUGAAGGUUCAAAGAGAGAGAGGUUAACAAUGGAGAAGAUUGAGAGUGUGGAGUGAAAUUGAAGAUGAUGAAGAAUGGUGUAGUAGAUGAUGAGGAGUAUGAUGAUUGAAGGUGAGGAAAAGUGGUGGAGGAGAUGGAGAAGAAAAUGGAGUGAAGAGUUCAGAAGAUGGAGAUGAGAGUGAAGUGAAGGUGAUGAUGAAUGAAGAAUCGAGAGAGUUCAGAGAGAUUGGCUAGAGAUUGAAGGAGGUGGAAGAUGAAGUUUUAAGAGUGAAAAAAUGGUGGAGAGAGGAUUGAAGAUGGAGAUUCUAAAUUUAUAGAAGUAAAGGGAAAAGAAAUCAGUUACAGAUGAAGAAUUUUUUGCCAAUGGAUUUGAAUUUUUCAGUUAUCAAAGGAACGGUUAGGAUUCAAUCUAAAAGGUACGUUCACAACUGAGAUGGUUCCUUCUGAGUCAUGUUGCAGGGCUGAUUGAAUGGUUUAUGGAGGGCUGUACAAUGCGAACACGAUAGCAGGUGAGUGAUUUCUGAAUGAUGAGCUGAAUGACGCGAAUUUAAACUGUCUGUUUGGGAUAUGUAGGUUAUGGCAUUGGUGUAAAAAGUUGGGGUUACUAGAAGGUUUGCUGGCUGGGCGGUAUGUGUGACUGUAAGUGUUAUGAUUUCAUGAAGUAUGAAUCAGGUGGUGAGGUCUUAGCAGCUUGUUGGGUUGAGGUGAUAGGAGGAUCAAAACUUCAUGUUGAACCAUGGUUGGCUUGCAGGUGCAAUGCGUAAGCUAAUACCAUAGCUAAGAUGAAGUGGAGUUGACUUGAAGAAUCAGAGAGAGAAGUUUAGGAUCAGUUUGAAUUCGGUCAACUGUUUGACUAGAAAGUCAACUAUAGGUCAAAUGUACAAUUUUGAUGUGGUUUUCAAUGUACUUUGCUUUUGCCUUGUCUUUGUAUGUUAACUUCUUUAAAACUAUGGACAAUAUUCAAUG